GAUGAAGAACGCAGCGAAAUGCGAUAACUAGUGUGAAUUGCAGAAUUCCGUGAAUCAUCGAGUCUUUGAACGCACAUUGCGCCCCCUGGUAUUCCGGGGGGCAUGCCUGUCCGAGCGUCAUUGCUGCCCUCAAGCACGGCUUGUGUGUUGGGCCUCCGUCCUCCUCCCGGGGGACGGGCCCGAAAGGCAGCGGCGGCACCGCGUCCGGUCCUCGAGCGUAUGGGGCUUCGUCACCCGCUCUUGUAGGCCCGGCCGGCGCUUGCCGACACAUCAAUCUUUUUUCCAGGUUGACCUCGGAUCAGGUAGGGAUACCCGCUGAACUUAAGCAUAUCAAUAAGCGGAGGA
This 345-nucleotide unclassified non-coding RNA is filed under the name soil metagenome. RNAcentral describes it as "partial contains 5.8S ribosomal RNA, internal transcribed spacer 2, and large subunit ribosomal RNA". The stretch from base 1 to 120 matches the Rfam family "5.8S ribosomal RNA", at positions 35 to 154 of the family's 154-position model. The record is from RNAcentral.